AGUGGAGUUCUUCGGAACAAAGCUAGCGGCGGACGGGUGAGUAACACGUGGGCAACCUGCCUCAUAGAGGGGAAUAGCCUCCCGAAAGGGAGAUUAAUACCGCAUAAGAUUGUAGCUUCGCAUGAAGUAGCAAUUAAAGGAGCAAUCCGCUAUGAGAUGGGCCCGCGGCGCAUUAGCUAGUUGGUGAGGUAACGGCUCACCAAGGCGACGAUGCGUAGCCGACCUGAGAGGGUGAUCGGCCACAUUGGGACUGAGACACGGCCCAGACUCCUACGGGAGGCAGCAGUGGGGAAUAUUGCACAAUGGGGGAAACCCUGAUGCAGCAACGCCGCGUGAGUGAUGACGGCCUUCGGGUUGUAAAGCUCUGUCUUCAGGGACGAUAAUGACGGUACCUGAGGAGGAAGCCACGGCUAACUACGUGCCAGCAGCCGCGGUAAUACGUAGGUGGCAAGCGUUGUCCGGAAUUAUUGGGCGUAAAGCGCGCGCAGGCGGAUAGGUCAGUCUGUCUUAAAAGUUCGGGGCUUAACCCCGUGAUGGGAUGGAAACUGCCAAUCUAGAGUAUCGGAGAGGAAAGUGGAAUUCCUAGUGUAGCGGUGAAAUGCGUAGAUAUUAGGAAGAACACCAGUGGCGAAGGCGACUUUCUGGACGAAAACUGACGCUGAGGCGCGAAAGCCAGGGGAGCGAACGGGAUUAGAUACCC
This 700-nucleotide ribosomal RNA is filed under the name uncultured bacterium. Its description in RNAcentral is "bacterial SSU rRNA". It matches the Rfam family "Bacterial small subunit ribosomal RNA", at positions 69 to 787 of the family's 1533-position model. The record is from RNAcentral.